This 60-nucleotide transfer RNA is filed under the name Schistidium papillosum. RNAcentral's name for it is "tRNA-Thr". RNAcentral also lists the same sequence under 1 other name. The record is from RNAcentral. Lineage: Eukaryota; Viridiplantae; Streptophyta; Bryopsida; Grimmiales; Grimmiaceae.
AGCCCGCUAUCGGAGUCGAACCGAUGACCAUCGCAUUACAAAUGCGGUGCUCUGACCUCU